CCCACGUCCCAGCCUCUCUCGCUUAUGGAACACACGUAAGCACACGCACGCCGGCGGCCCGCGCGUCGGCGACGAUCUAGCCGAAGUGGUGGUGCUUCUUCUCGCCGCUGGCCUCCUUGGCCUCCUUGUGGUCCUGCUUCUUCUCGUGGUGCUCGUGGAAGACGAAGCCGCCGGCACCGACGGCCGCGGCGGCGGCCAGCUCCUCCUCGAUCUUGUGCUUGUGCGCGUGUUCCGGGUCCUUCUUCGCCUCGUGCUUCUCGUACUGCACGUGGACAAGCAGUUCAUUAGCCAAGCCCGGAAAGACAUGAACUACGUAUAUAUCUAUAUACGCGUAUGGGUAAAUAGUUACGAUGAGAGAGAGAGAGCGUACGAGGGCGAAGGCUCCGGCGGCGACGGCGCCCAUCUCGCCGAGGUGCUCCUUGUGCUUGUGGUGCUUCUCCUCCUUGGUGAUCCGCUCGUACUCGCCCUCGUUGCCGGUGCCGGUCACCACCGUCUCGGUCGAGUACCCGUACACGUCGGCGCCGCCAUCAGCGGCGGGCUGGAAGUCCUCGCCCUCCUUCUUGUGGUGGAACAGGUGGUGGUGGUGCUUCUCCUCCGCCAUGGCCGCCGGCUGAUCGAUUAACUAGCUUGUAUGUGUGCGUGUAUGUGACAGUGGGACAGCUUCUUAUCUGCUUGGUCUGUGUAGGCUUCCUACUGGCCGGGUUUUAUAGGCUGAGGCGACUGUUGGAAUGGACGGUGGAACUAACCGUUCCGUUCCACGGGUUAUGGAUACUGGAUCCAUCAAAUAUACAGUACGUAUGCAUACGAUUGUGAUCUGCUUUAUGUACGUGUCCCGGAGUCAUUGGAGGCUUGGAGCCCAAGCACUCAGGCAACCACAGGACAGGGGGCCACGUUCUGAUGGCCAACGGUGCAGCGCCCCACCACCUUCUUGGCACUUGGCAGAGUUGCAGCUUGGGGUAGCUUACAUGUGAGUAACAAAAGUUUAGAGAAGUGUCGGCAUGCACGGAUUGGCUGACGGUGAUGUGGCACCGCGCACGCCUUUCCCUGCUCCCCGCGUCCACUAUCCAGCAACCUUUACUCGUAUGUAAUUACGUGUGCGCAUUAUUACUUUUUCUUUUUUGAGAAGUACUCCGUAGUACUAUUUGUGAAAAGUAAAAACGAGAGAGAGGAUAAAAAUGAUGGAACCGUUGCUUUCAUUGAUGGAUUGGGAGUAUAUAUACCCCUGAUACAAGGCAGUUACAAAGAGGCAGUUGCUACUAGUAGCAACCGACAUAGCGGGGAUUAACCCUUUAAUUAAUCUAAUUAAUUUAUUUCUAACACUCCCCCUAAUCACUGCUUGUCUUGGAUAUUUAUUAUCUUGAUAAAGACUCCUCUUUGUAUGUGUCUUUAAGAAUGUCCAUCAUCUUCGUGAAAGCCUUUGUAUAAUCUUGAAAGUCUUCCCAAAAAACCCUGUGGGAAAAAAUAUGAGGAGAAUAGUGUAGGUAUGUUGCUAAAACUCCUUUAAACCCGGUGGGAAAAUAAUAAGGAGAAAAUAAUGCAACAUAUAAUGAUUAUUGUCUCUUGAUAACUCAAUCGAGAAAACCUUUGAAGAAGGAGAAAAAUCAAUUGUGAGUUUAGAGAACAAUUAAUAUGUCUUUAAUACUUUCUUUAAAAAAACCCAAUAGGGAAAAUAGAAAGUAUGGCAUAUGAUUUUGAUAAUAUAUUGCCUCAUUAAAAACCUUUUUAUGAGAAAACUGAUGCAAAACUCAUAAAGGAAAAGAGUACAAUUAUUAUCUGAUGAUAAUUAAUGGGUUAUGAGUCUAGGAAUUUCUCCCCCUGAAAUUUGCAAAUCUCGAAAACGUCUCAUACCAAUUCCAUGAAUAUAUUUCUGGAAUGUUGAAUUUGGUAAAGACUUUGUGAACAAAUCUGCUAGAUUGUCGCAUGAUUUGGUUUGCAAAAUAUCAAUUUCUCCAUCCUUUUGUAAUGCAUGAGGAUAGAAUAACUUAGGAGAAAUGUGUUUUGUGAUAUUACUUUUCACAUAACCCAUUUGCAUUUGAGCAAUGCAGGCUGCAUUAUCUUCAUAUAUAAUAGUUGGUGAUCCUAAUGAACCAACACCACAUGAAGUUUGAAUAUGGUUAAUCAUCCUGCGAAGCCAUACACAUUCUUUAGAUGCUUCAAAUAAUGCAAUAAUUUCAGAAUGAUUAGUGGAUGUUGCUACGAGAGUCUGUUUUGUUGACUUCCAUGAAAAAACAGUUCCACCAUAUAAGAAUACGAAACCUGUUUGUGACCUGGCAUUGUGAGGAUCAGAUAGAUAGCCAGCAUCAGUAUAUCCUACCAUAGUCAUAUCUUGGUUUUUCUGAUAGAAUAAGCCAAGAUCUUUUGUGCCAUGUAAAUAUCUAAGGAUAUUCUUUACUCCCGUCCAAUGACGUUUUGUUGGAGCAGCGCUAUGUCUAGCUAGUAAAUUUACCGCAAAUGCAAUAUCAGGCCUGGUGCAAUUUGCAAGGUACAUUAGCGCACCAAUGGCACUGAGAUACGGGAACUCAGGUCCUAAUAUCUCUUCGUCAUCAUCCCGAGGUCUAAAAGGAUCUUUAUUCAUAUCAAGGGAUCUGACAACCAUGGGUGUUUUGGUUGGAUAUGAUUUAUCCAUAUUAAAUUUUUCCAAAACCUUUUGAAUAUAUGCAGGUUGGUAUACUAAAAUUCCUGAGGGAAGAUGCUCAAGCUGUAAGCCUAAGCAGAAUUUGGUCUUUCCCAAAUCUUUCAUCUCAAAUUCCGCCAUUAGAUGAUUGCGUGCUUCUUCGAUAUCAGGUCUACAUCCAAUGAUAUUGAGGUCAUCAACGUACACUGAGAUGAUGCAAAAUCCAUUUGGGGAUUUCUUUAUAAAUACACAAGGGCAAUCAUCAUUAUUUGAGUAGCCUUUUUGAAUAAGGAACUCACUCAGCCGGUUAUACCACAUUCUACCCGACUGUUUUAAGCCAUAUAGUGACUUUUGUAAUUUUACACAAUAUGCGUUGCGAUUUGCUUUUGGAUUCGGCAUUUUAAGUCCUUCAGGGACUUUCAUAUAUAUAUCCGAUUUGAGUGACCCAUAUAAGUAUGUUGUCACUACAUCCAUCAACUGCAUAGAUAAAUUCAUUUGUACUGCCAAAGAUAUUAAGUAUCGAAACGUUAUUCCACUCAUUACAGGAGAGUAUGUAUCAUCGUAAUCGAUGCCGGGUCUCUGCGUGAACCCUUGUUCUACAAGCCUCGCUUUGUAUCUCACCACCUCAUUGUUUUCAUUCCUUUUUCGAACAAAAACCCAUUUUGCUCCAACAGGGAAGACAUUGUGAGGAGUAGGUAUUACUGAGGAAAAUACCUCUCUUUUGUUGAGCGAGCGCAGUUCUGCCUCAAUUGCUUCCUUCCAUUUAGGCCAAUCAGGACGCUUGAGGCACUCCCUGACGGUCUUUGGUUCUGGAUCCAGUUGAAGGGUUUCAGCAAUUUCAGAGGCGAAAUAUAUGUCGACAAUUGUAGUCUCUCUAUUAUAUGAUUCUCCUAAUUCUGUAUAGUUUAUGGAAAUUUCUUUUAUACCUUCAGACUCUAUGUGAUUUCCCACAACAAUAGAAUCAUGGUGUUCCGAUGUCCCAGCAAUUAUGUUUUUAUGCGCAUUUAUGCUUGGUUCAAGAUGUUGAGCAUCUGGUUGGUGUCCUUCAACUUGAGGUUGAAUUGCAUUUACUGGUAGAGGAUUUGAUUUCCUCUGUUUCCGCGGAGGCUUUUGAGAAGCUAUAUUCCGACUAACCAGAUUUCUCCCCCUCUUACUCUCAUUUGGGGUUUGAGUGGUUUUAGUUGGUACCUCCACUCGUUCUGGUGCAUUAACAGCGGGAAUAUGUGAUUUAGUGACACCUUUAUGGUGAGUAAAUGCAUCUGGCAGAUUAUUUGCAAUGUGUUGCAAAUCUAUGAUCCUGUGAACUUCAGUUUCAGAUUCUUUAGUACGUGGAUCUAAGGACUGAAUGCCUGUUACAUUCCAAUCUAUUUCCUGGCAUUCUUUGUGGUUUGAUUCUCCCCCUAAUGCCGGGGAAUGGUCCUCAUCAAAAAUAGAAUCAGCGUAACGGGCAGUAAACAGGUCCCCUGUAAGAGGUUCAAGAUAUUUAAUAAUUGACGGAGAAUUAUAACCCACAUAGAUCCCUAGUUUUCUGUGGGGGCCCAUGGAUGUACGCUGCGGUGGUGAUAUCGGUACGUAUACUGCGCAACCGAAUUUUCGCAGAUGGGAAAUACUUGGCUGAGUGCCACGUACUAGUUGUAGCGGGGAGGUUGUAUGAUAUGCAGUUGGUCUGAUUUGUAUCAGAUCUGCGGCGUGUAAUACCGCAUGUGCCCAACAAGAUGCUGGUAAAUUACAAUUCUGUAAUAGUGGUCGAGCAACUAAUUUUACUCUUUUGAUGAGAGAUUCAGCCAAACCAUUUUGAGAUUCUGCGGCGGUUCUGGCGGUGGUUCCCGGCGAAGAAGCGGCGAUGAGGGCCACUCCGGUUCUGGCGGUGGUUCCUGGUGAAGGAACGGCGGCGAGGGCCAUUCCUUGCACCAAGGCCCUCACGGCGACGUGCAAUGCGGUGGCGCUGCGUGCGAGUGAAGCGGCUGUCUUCUUUCUGCAGGAAACGUGCGAAAGCAAAAGCAAGCGAGGACAAAUCUCUCCCUGCCAUUCUCACCUUUCUCUUGGCUCUCUGUCGCUCUCGGCAGAGCAAGUGCUGAUAACGUGUGAAAAGUAAAAACGAGAGAGAGGAUAAAAAUGAUGGAACCGUUGCUUUCAUUGAUGGAUUGGGAGUAUAUAUACCCCUGGUACAAGGCAGUUACAAAGAGGCAGUUGCUACUAGUAGCAACCGACAUAGCGGGGAUUAACCCUUUAAUUAAUCUAAUUAAUUUAUUUCUAACACUAUUAUUGGAAAACAUGCAUACACAUGCAGAUGUUUGGAUUUUUUCACUGUUUUGACCUUACAUGUAAACAUGAGCACAAAAUGAACUCAGUCUGAAAAUAUUUUUGGAUCUGACCUUUCUUUAAAACGCCAGAGUCCGUCGCGUUGCUGCUCCACGUAGAAACGCCAGACUAACGUGGCGUUUUUGAUCUACAUUCAAACGUCAGUCUACUGGACGUUGCAGCAUAUAUAGAAACGCCAAGUUCAGUCUGUUGUAAGUUGAAUCGAGAGAAACAAAUGAAUCAAUUGUCACUUUAUUCCUUGAUGAUUGAACACUUUAUAUGCCAGGGAAAGACGGUUCCCGGAGGCGACGCUCCAGGAACAAUACGCCGGUUCCGCAUCGUGGGGGGAAUUCACGUGCGGUUACAAGUAGAGAUUAAUUUAACUAAUUACAUAAUUAAUUAAAUUCUAACACUCCCCCUAAUCUAUACUUGUCCAUGAGCGUGUCCAUCAUCUUGAAAUAGUCUCCUCCAAAAACCCUGUGGGAAAAAUAUAAGGAGUGGUGUAGUAUAUGCGGCUAAAACUCCUUCAAACCCUGUGGGGAAAUAAGGAGAAAAUGAUAUAGCAUAUAAUGCGUAUUGCCUCUGUUAACUCUAUAUGAAAUGUAUCCAUAGAAUAAGAGGACAAUAAAUAUGUCGUAUAUACUUUCCUAAAAACCCCGGUGGGGAAAACAGAUAGUAUGACAUAUGAUCUUAUGUUGAUAUUACCUCAUUAAAAACCUCGAUGAGAACCUAUAAAGUAAACUCAUAAAGGGAAAAGAGUGUAAUAUGAUGCUUUGAACAGGAAGAGUUCAGGAAGAGACUCCCCCUGACUCUUGCAAAUCUCGGAGCCGUCGCAUACCAAUUCCAUGAAUGUAUUUCUGGAAUGUUGAAGCUGGUAGAGACUUCGUGAAAAGAUCAGCUAGAUUAUCGCAUGACUUGACUUGCAAGAUGUUGAUUUCACCACUUUUCUGGAGUUCAUGGGGAUAAAACAACUUAGGGGCAAUAUGCUUAGUGAUAUUGCUCUUUAUGUAUCCUGUUUGCAUCUGUGCAACACAAGCCGCAUUAUCUUCAUAGAUAAUGGUAGGUGAUUUGAUAGAACCAAUUCCACGUGACUGUUGUAUGUGGUUUAUCAUUCUGCGAAGCCACGUGCAUUCACGUGAUGCCUCAUAUAAAGCAAUUAUUUCAGAAUGAUUGGUAGAUGUUGCAACUAGGGUCUGUUUUGAAGACUUCCAUGAUAUAGCAGUUCCACCAUGUAGGAACACAAAGCCGGUCUGCGAUCUGGCAUUAUGGGGAUCAGAUAAAUAGCCAGCAUCUGUAUAUCCAAUUAUACCAGAGUCUAGUUUUUUCUGGAACUGAAUAGGCCAAGAUCCUUUGUGCCUUGGAGAUAUCGAAAGACAUUCUUGACUCCCGACCAAUGGCGUUUGGUGGGAGCUGCGCUGUGUCUAGCAAGUAGAUUUACUGCAAAUGCGAGGUCAGGUCUCGUGCAAUUUGCUAGAUACAUAAGCGCUCCAAUUGCACUGAGAUAUGGAACCUCGGGUCCAAAAAUCUCUUCACCAUCAUCCCUUGGCCUGAACGGAUCUUUCUCUACGUCUAGAGAUCGAACCACCAUGGGAGGUUUAGAUGGGUAGGAUUUGUCCAUAUUGAAUUUCUCCAAUAUUUUCUGGAUAUAGGCAGCUUGGUGUACCAUUAUUCCUGAGGUAAGGUGCUCGAGUUGGAGACCCAAGCAAAAUUUGGUUUGGCCCAAAUCCUUCAUCUCAAAUUCCAUCUUUAGGUGAUUGCGUGCUUCAUCAAUAUCUGGUGUACAGCCGAUGAUGUUGAGAUCAUCAACAUACACAGAAAUGAUGCAAAAUCUUGUAGACGACUUCUUGAUGAAGACACAUGGGCAAUCAUCACUAUUGGAGUAACCUUUCUGAAGAAGGAACUCACUUAGUCGGUUGUACCACAUCCGCCCCGACUGUUUUAAGCCAUACAAUGACUUAUUCAGCUUUACACAAUACAUGUUGCGUUUUGCAUUGUUACUCGGGACAGAGAUUCCGUCAGGAACCUUCAUAUAUAUGUCCGAAUCUAGUGACCCGAAAAGAUAUGCGGUCACGACGUCCAUCAACUGCAUGGAUAGACGAUUUUGUACUGCCAUAGAUAUAAGAUAUCGGAAAGUUGUUCCACUCAUUACUGGAGAGUAUGUCUCAUUGAAAUCAAUGCCGGGUUUCUGCGUAAAACCUUGUGCUACGAGCCUUGCUUUAUAUCUCACCACCUCAUUGUCCUCAUUCCGUUUCCGGAGGAAAACCCAUUUGAAUCCCACAGGGAAAACAUUGGGAGGUGUAGGUAUUGCUUCAGUGAAUACCUUCCUUUUGUUAAGCGAGGCAAUUUCUGCUUGGAUUGCAUCCUUCCAUUUAGGCCAGUCGGAGCGCCUUUGGCAUUCGACGAUAGACCUUGGAUCAUGAUCAGUGAUAAGGAUAUCUACAAUCUUUUCAGCAAAAUAUAUGUCGACAGUCGUAGUCUUGCGGUCAAAUGAUUCUCCAGAAUCAACAUAGUUGAUGGAAAUUUCUUGCACCCCUAGAGACUGUUCGUUAUUUCCCAAUACGAUUGAGUCUAGGUGUUCCGAUGUUCCAGCUAGUUUGUGCAUACUGGAGCUGGGUUGUGAAGGUCUCCCUUCCACUGGGUGUAAACUACCCAUAAGGUGUUCAUCAACGUUGAGUUGACUUGCAUUUACUGAUUUUGAGGAUCUUCUCCUCUCUCUCCUUUGCUGCUUGCGAGAAGCAGGUUCCGGGUCAGAGGUCGUACUACUCCCCCUCUUUUUAGGAACAGGGAGUUGAGUGGUUUUAGUUGGUACCUCCACUCUUUCGGGCGCAUUUCUGGCUGGAAUCAAGGAUUUUGUAACACCUUUUAGAUCAGUAAAUGAAUCUGGCAGAUUAUUUGCAAGAUGUUGCAAAUUGAUAAUUUUCCGAACUUGUAGUUCGGUCUCUUGAGUACGUGGAUCAGAGGCUGAAAUGGCAAUGGCAUUCCAAUCAAUUUCCGAGCAUUCUUUCUGGUACUUGAAAUCUCCCCCUAAUGCCGGAAAAUGUUCCUCAUCAAAAAUGCAAUCAGCGUGACGGGCUGUGAAUAGAUCCCCAGUAAGGGGUUCCAGGUACUUGAUAAUCGACGGCGAUCUGUACCCCACAUAGAUCCCAAGUUUCCUGUCUGGGCCCAUGGAUGUCCGCUGUGGUGGUGAGAUUGGGAUGUACGUAGCACAUCCGAACUUACGCAGAUGGGAAAUGCUGGGAGGAUUUCCACGUACCAAUUGCAGAGGGGAAGUACUGUGAUAUGCAGUAGGUCGCAAUUGGAUUAAGUCAGUAGCGUGUAAAAUUGCAUGACCCCAACACGAAGUUGGUAAGCUGCAAUUCAUUAACAAAGGUCUUGCAAUGAGUUUGAUCCUUUUAAUUAGAGAUUCGGCCAAACCAUUUUGAGUAUGAACGUAUGGGACAGAGUGCUGAACUUCAAUCCCCAAGGCCAUGCAAUAGUCAUUGAAAGCACGUGAACAAAAUUCUGCAGCAUUGUCCAUGCGAAUUGAUUUAAUUCAACUUUCUGGAUAAUGGGCCUGUAACUUAAUUACUUCCCGCAUUAUCUUGGCAAAUGCAUGGUUUCGUGUGGAUAGAAGGCACACGUGUGACCAUCGUGUAGAUGCAUCAAUCAGAACCAUGAAAUACCGAAAUGGUCCAGAUAAUGGUUGGAUAGGACCACAAAUGUCACCUUGAAUGCGUUCAAGGAAGUGAAGUGGUUCAGCUUGUAUUUUAAGGUGUGAUGGCCUUAAAAUUAGUUUCCCUGUGGCGCAGGAUGUGCACACAAAGUCUGAUGACUGAGGAAACUUUGACUCGAGCAAAUUAUGACCAAUAGAAUUGCUAGUAAUUUUCCUCAUCAUCCCAACACUGGGGUGGCCAAGGCGAUCAUGCCAAGUUUGGAAUGCAUUAACAUUCUGAAAAAUUACCUUGUAAGCAACAUGUUCUACGGGCUUGAUGUACGUAUAGUACAGUCCGGACGAUAGUGAAGGAAUUUUUUCAAGUACUUGCUUGCCAUAUCCGUAAUCUUUUGUGAAGAGUAGAAACUCUUCUGUGUUGUCCUCAUGGGUUUCAAUGUGAAAACCAUUUUUACGGAUAUCUCAAAAACUGAUUAGGGUACGGGAUGAAUCAGGAUACAGCAAGGCAUCCUCAAUUGUCACUUGUGUACCACCUCGGAGGGUAAAUAUGGCACGUCCAGUGCCAACAAUUACCGUAUCGCGUCCAACGAUUGUCAAAAUAUCUCCAUUCAUCUUUUUCAGAGUCUGAAAAUAUUUCAACUCCCUUGGUAUGGAGUUUGUGGUAGCACUGUCCACAAGGCAUAAUUCCUCUUCCAUCGGAUUGUCCCCAUAGAAAGCUAUAUAUAAAAAUGAGGAAUUUUCAAUAAGAAAGCCUUAUUUCAAUACAUAGAAUACAAUCUUAUUAUAUCAAAGUGCUGAUACAAUAUAUAAAUGACAACAAUACUUAUGUUCUAUUACAAUCAUCACACAUGGAUAUGAUUUAUUUAAUAAAUCGACCACUAAGGAGAUAAUGGGACUAAUCGAAGUCUCCAAACAUGUCGGUUGAGGUGUACUCAACCAUCAUGUUCUCCGUGUCUGUAGGAUCCUCUAAUGUAUGGAGUGUCAUGGUGUUGCUAGAUCCGGGAGGAACAUCUUGCGAACAACCAGCUCCAUUGGUGCCAUCUGGAUGAAGGUUGAAGUUGGCUUGAAACCUUUUCCCUUGAGGUACUUUGCGUCCCUGAGAUUGCUGAUACAGAAUUGCCAGAUGCUUCGGGGUCUUGCACUUAUUGGUAGGAUGCGUGUAGCAUCCACACUUGUCACAAAGCUUAGUUUGGUCAAACUUGGGCUUUGCGGUGCCUUUCCCAUGGUCCGAGUUUCUAGGCUUUCUGUUCCGGUUGCGCUUGCAUUUACCCUUGAAGUUCGAUGGCUUGCCAUGGGACGCACCAUCAAACUUUCGUCUGUUCACGACGUUCAUAUGAACUUCAGGCAGAGGUUGGGAACCAACCGGACGCUGAGAACCAUUCUUAGCGAGUAGCUCAUCAUGCUUUUCAGCCUGAAGUAGGAUAUGAAUGAGGUCGGAAUAGACUUGGUAGUCAUGAGCGCGGUACUGUUGCUGGAGGACCCUUUCAUAUGGGAGCAUAGUAGACAUAGUUUUUUCUAUCUUUUCCGCAUCAGUAGGUUCCUUCCCGCAAAAGCGUAAUUUGGAACAUAUCUUAUGAACCUCGUGAUUGUACGCCCCGAUGGACUUGAAAUCCUGGAGUCGGAUAUGCGUCCAAUCAUGGAGUGCUUCCGGCAGGACAACUGCCUUUUGCUGUUCAUACCUCGUCUUGAGGGCCUGAAACAGAGUAAGUGGGGAUUCCUCCUCCAAAUAUUCAGAUUUGAGAUCUGGGUGGAUAUGGUGCCUUAUGAUGUAUAAGGCGGCAUAUUUCUGUUCAUCUCUCAGCGGCGUGACUCCAUCCGGAAGAGGAUCUUCCGGAGUCUGGAUUGCACACACUAAUCCACGAGAUGCAAGAGCGAUCUUGAUGUCCAUGGCCCAGGUAGGAUAGUUGUGGCCAUUGAGGUCGGGUGCAUCGAACUCUCUUCCAGCCAUUGGUUACCUACAUGGGUAAACCAGAGAUUAUUAAUUUACACCAGGUAAAUUAAAACCUUCAUGGUUACGUUGUAUUGAACGUUGCAAAAUUAAUGAUAACUUCAAGAAAUGGGCUUGAAAUCAUUAGUGUGACUUUCAAAUUGUGAAGUUUGACACAUUGUAGAUACGCCCCAAACGAAAAUUCGGGGUCCAUCUCUCAGAACUAGGGAGUAUAAUCUGAUAAAAUCAGUAGAUACUCAUGUUUCUAGUACCUUAUGUCAUAACUUAAUAAAAUGUAUCGGAGGGCACAAUAUUAAGCAAUCAUCAUAUCAAUAUGAUAGAAUGUAGGCUUAAUCGUAGUGGCGAUAAUCUGCUAUGCAUUAGAUCAACACACUUCUUUGUGGUCCCAAAACAUCAAUUUGAAAGAAAAUCACUUUGGAAUUUUGCAUAUCAACUCGUGCUCGUAUUAAGCCAAAGGCUCAAUUAAGACGAGGGGUUGAUUUUUAUUUGCAAGAAAUUUGAAAUCUCAAUUACAAAUAAUAGAGGUAAUAAAUCUCAACAUGUAGCAAACAUGGAAAUAUAUAUUACAUCACAUAUGUUCUAGAAUACAAAGUACUCUACAGAAAACAAAACAGUACUAGAAAUAGACGUACUGAAAACAGGAAUUAAACAGGAUCUAAGACAGGGAUUAGUCUACUGCUAGAUCUACUGUUGAUAGUACAGGAAGUAAUCUAAAACAGAGAGCAAAUAGUGCUGGAAAAUACUACUAAAGUGUGCUGGAGUGCUGCAAGACCACAUGUGCCAUCGAACCAAGGCCACAUGUGUCCCAAGGAUGUGCACAUGUCGUCUGCAGCGUCCACUUUAUUCAAAUCACGGGAGGAUAAGGCAGAGCCAGCUCUAAAAAAACAAGAGCGGCACCGCAUCAGGCAGAGCCCCGCGCCAGGGAGAACUCCGCGUGUGCUGCUUCACAGCGUUCACCAGGGACGGGCGAGAGAGCCUCCGCCGCGCUCGUCCUCGUCUUCGUCGGAAGGCCCGCCCGGGGGCAAGGAGCGAGGCGAGGUGCCGUCCACGAGCCCAAGGGCGGCCGGGCUCCAGGANGCUCUCCAAACCUGCGGUGGAGAGCAGCGAGGCGGCGACGACGGACGUAGUUCUGCUGCAGGCGGCGAAGGUUCGUCGGCGUUGAGCGAGGCAUCCUUCUCACCUUUUGCUUCUUGCCUGUCGAUCUCAUCGAUCUCGUCGAAAGCACUCUGGAAGAGCAGUGCUGAUAACGUGUUGUAAGUUGAAUCGAGAGAGAGAUAGCGAGAGAAACAAAUGAAUCAAAUGUCACUUUAUUCCUUGAUGAUUGAACACUUUAUAUGCGAGGGAAAGACGGUUCCUGGAGGCGACGCUCCAGGAACAAUACGUCGGUUCCGCAUCGUGGGGGGAAUUCACGUGCGGUUACAUGUAGAAAUUAAUUUAACUAAUUACAUAAUUAAUUAAAUUCUAACACAGUCUACUUAGCGUUUCAGGCUAUGUAGCAACGCCAAGGCGCAUGGCGUUUCAAUGCAUGCGCUACUGUUCGCAGCAUGCAGGCAGGCAUGCACGCAUGCGCCGCUGUUCGCAGCUACUGUUUGCUACUGGUCACUGCCCCUCUCUGCUCGUUUUUGAGUCUUGCAUGCCAGCUACACUGUGUAUGGAGUCUUGCAUGCGAGCUACACUGUGUAUGGGAGAAAAAAUAAUGCCCAGUAAAGAGGAUCGGAGGGAGUACACUGCAUCCAUGCAUGCAGGCAAUGCAGAGGCAGGCACGCACACACACAUAACUAUGGGAUGUGGCUAUGGUGUGGCGUAGAGUAGCAUGGAUGAUGAGCAGGAGUAAAAUAAACUAUUGUUGCUCCUACUGGCACGGUGACACCGGCACAGUAGCUCAUGCAUGGUUAUUUGCCUCAGAAACGCCAACUCGCAUGGCGUUUCACUGAAGGCCAAAAACGCCACACUAUACAGGCAUUUCUUAAUAGGUCUGCAACGCCACGUUAGAGUGGCGUUUCUUAAUAGGGCUGCAACGUCACGGACUAUGGCGUUUUAAGAAAAUGAUCAAAACGUGAAAUUGUUUUCAAACGAGUUCGUUACGUGAUUAUCGUAGCCCCCUCGGAUCAAAACAGUGAAAAAACCCCAGAUGUUUCAAGCUACUGGCUUCCUUUAAUCCUUUCCAACAUGAUUUUUUAGGAACUUAAAAGCAAACAAUUUAAUUGCAAAUCAAUAUAUAUAUGGAUGGUCUGAGCAUCUACAACCACGGAUCCACCCCUCAAAAGUCCGCGGACGCGUCCGCGGACAUAGACCGGGCGCGUCUUAUUUUUUGCCUUUCACAUCUGCGUCUCUCAUAUUCGAAACCUCAUAUCCAUACAAAUGCAUGCAACGUCACGUAAAACAAGAGAUAACCAUUCUCCAUUGGAUUGGAUUGAUUCGUCGAACAAAAGCAUCAUAGUUCAUCGAACUUCAUCGGCAAAUUAAUACUAGAAACUACUUAAGCAUAAUUAAAAUGUACACAACACGGGGCGCUCACGGUCGAACGUCGCGCGGCCAGCGCCUCCCCCUUUCCCUCUCCCAUUGCCGCUCUAGACGCGCUGCACGCGUCUUGGACUCCGACGUCCUCUCGCGCCCCGUCCCCGACACGGGCACGAGGACCUAGCGUGGCCGGGUACCGCUUUCGAAGCAGAAGGUGGUGGAGGUGGGCAACGUACCUAACCUGGAGCGGACCGGCCGGAGCGGGAGCGACCAAAGCUGUAUGCCUUGCGGGAAGGGCCUGCUACGUCGGCGUGCGAUGAGCCCGAAGGAUGUAGGACCACAGUCGGGGCCGCCUUGGUCCUGCAGCAACCGGCGUAACGCGAUACGGAGGGCCACCUCCUCUACAUCGACGUUUGAUCCAUCAGAGUUGCUUCUGUCGCCGAUCAUCGGGUCGGAGGGUGGGGGAUUUGAAGUGGAGUGGACAGAGAGUGAACUGCUGGAUGUCUAGAGUUUUUGGAUUGGGGUAUUUAGUGGGUCCGUGGUGGGCGGGCUAACAUGGCCACGGGGUCGACGGUGGGCCAGACCUGACAGACGGGGCAUGCCCAGGCGCGCCCGGGCUUUCCCAUAUCCGUCCUAUAUUUGAAAUGGACAUGAGGAGUACCGCUCAGUCUAGACGUUUGAGACGAGUUUGAGAGACUCGUCUGGAUCGAAUUUUUGUGACCGGACAAUGACCGGACGGCCAGCCCGAUAUUUUAAGGAGCAUUUAAAGGGUCUGGCUAUAGAUACUCUAAUACUCUCUUGGACCCUUUUAUACGUUUUAAAAACCAUAAAGUUGAUCGUUCAAUUUCUGGGAGCAGUCGUUCAUAUGAAAACACCCUCGUUAUCGGACUAAGGCGGCCACCAUAUUCUUUACCAAAGUGUUCAUGUGUUUUCCUAUUUUUUGUAUCACGUUUCCUGACUUAUCCGUCCUGGUGCGGCCGUCGUGGGUGAUGCAUGAGAGCCAAUGGUUUUAGUACCACAUAUGGUGUUCUUGUGGAUAGGUAUCUUAUGUUUAACUUGUCUUGAGAGAUGUGACGGUGUUAAUGAUGUCUACAUGCUCUUUUUUGUCCGUUCUUCCUUUUUUCUACUAUGAUAUUUAUCUUUUUCCUUAAUAAUAUGAAGGUAAAUUUAUUGAUGCCAGUUUGCCAUGUGUGGGAUGUCUACCUCACAACAAAAUAUUCAACGGCAUUAGUUUCCCCAACUCUUAGGGCAGAUGGCUCAUAUGGCUUGAAGACCUAUGAGGUUAGUCGAGGUUAUGUAGGUUUUUUUUUGGUUUUAAUUAUUAGGAUAUACCUUGUGAGGGCUUCGGUUGCCUUUGUUAUUCACUUCAAUCAAAUGUGCCAUUUUUAUGAAACAAGCUCCUUAUGUUCUUCUUAAUAACAAAUGAAUCGAGGUGGUCUUUGAAGGCAUCUUCGGGUGGAAUGGACGAUGCGGCUUGGUGUCUUGGUCCUAUGGCUCCUUCACGAGCGGCGAUGUUUGGCAUGCUUCUAGUAGCUUGUGGUGUAAUCUCACUUCAUAUCUGUCUGGUGUAAUUUGUAGUAGUCGCUCUACCUUCUUCGUCCUCUUCUUCUCUAGGAUGGCGAAUUAUUUCGCAGAUCUUGCUGGCGUUGGCGUUUGCUUCCUCCGACCAUCGACUUCCUAGUUGUUGCUUAACAAUGUCCUCCUGACAUUGAUGGGUUUUGAAGGUAAAGAGAAAGCAUCGAGCUUUUCUCACGGUGCGCCGCUCGCGAGUUCACCAGAAAGAUGACGACGAUUUGUCCAAAGACAAGUGUGUAACUAUUAAUUUCUAUAAGAAUGACCUUUAAGGGUUUGUGGACUUCAAUAUAUGGUCUUUGGCCUUCUUAUGGAAUUGUUUGUUUGAAUAUGCCGAAAAGAAAUCAUAAACUUGUGGGUCACACACAUAUUUCCCCAAGGAAUUAAGCUCCACGAAAUUCCAUUUUGCAGUUCGGAGCAAAGCCACAAUGCAAGAGAGAGAUCUAAUACCAUGUACCAAACAAUCUAAGAAUGAAAAUAUGAUGGUCGCACUUGAAAGCAAGUUAUAAUUAUCAUAACAUGAAAACUAUUAGUGCAAAAGCCCCUCAAAGGUUAUAAAAGUCCAUAAACCGCCUAAUCGACACCACCAUGUAAAACUUUCUUGUGCUUUCACUCCCACCCUCCUUUAUUAGCAACAAAGAGUGUUAAACAAUUGAGAGCAUCUCAAACAGCAGCUGCAAAAACCGCACACGCGGGGAAAAUAGUCUUUUAGCACGUGUGGGGCGGUUGCGUGCGCUCCAGCAGCCGCGGAAUAAUCGGCCGCGCGGGAAAAGGUAGCCCGCCGCGCGAUAGAUUUGGCGUGCAGCGCUCGGCGCGCCCUAUAAAUGCAGUACUCGACCACGCGUCCUUCCACCGCUCUCACUCGCCUCUCUCCCGCCACGCGUCCUCUGUCGAUGUCUCUCUCGCCUCGUCGCCCUCGCGCCGUCGCGGAACUUCGGGAUACCGUGACGUCCGUUCUGCGCUUCGCCAAGAUCCGCUCCGGCGACAUGCGCCUUGGCCUCGACACGUUCGACGCCGCCGACGAUGACGUCCGUGCGUAUGACGCGGCAGCGUUGCGCCUCAACAUGCCUCUUAGGGAGAUGAAUUUCCCCGAGGUGAUGACGCUGGAGUGGGCGCAGAACCCCACGCCUCGUCCAUAGGUUGUCACCGAAGAGGACCAUCGUCGGAACCGGAGGCGGGAGCGCCGCCUCAGCAUUGUUGAGAUGGACGAGCAUGCCAUGACAGAGUGGCGCCGACAGUUCCUGCAGGACGACCUCGAUGAGCGCUAAUUCUUCACGCAAAGGAGGAUGGAGCAAGCCGCCUAUCGUGAAGAUAGGCGUACGCGGAAGCAAGCUGCACUGUUCUAGAUGGAGCUGAAGGAAUCGUCGAUUUGGCCCUCCGACGAUGAACGCUGGGCUGACACCUUCAUCAUGACGGAGGAAUAGGAUACCGGCCCGUCGGAAUCCGAUAACGACGACGAAUAGUCUUCUAUCUAUCUAGACUAUCUAUGGUUUGUAUGUACCUUUUUUUAUCGUUUUCUAUCUAUCUAGGCUAUCUAUGUUAUGUAUCAUUUAUUAAAAAUUAUGCUAUGUAUCGUUAUGUAUCGUUUAAAAAUAUACUAUGAUCAAAAAUGCAUAUUGCAAGCGCUGAAGUUUUUACGCGUUUGCUGGAGUGUCCCGCGCGCGUCAAAUUUUGCGACUUACGCUCGAGCCAGCGUUUGCUGGCGCGCUAAAAUUUGUUGUCUACAUGAUGUAAACUCACUUUUUAUGCGCCGUGCGUUGCGCACGUGUUGGAGAUGCUGUGACACAGAUAGAAACUAUGCAAUUAAGAAAUUACAACCUUCCAAAUUAGAGCUGAGCAAUCCAUGGUUAUACCACGAAGUUACAAUAGUUAUCUCUAUAAACCAACCCACUAAAAAAUAAACAAAAGGGAAAAAGCAAUACGCCAGACCAUCCUACAAAAAUGAGACGGUCUCUUGAUAAUUAGUUAUCCAUAGUAUUAAAUAGAUCUUUUUUUUCUUUAGGAACUCUACAAAGGGCUAUAAAAAUUACAUUGCCAUGUUCAUUUUAGUUAUAUUAUUUUCAAUAAUUUUAAUAAAAAAGAAGAAAAUCCUUUUUUUUCUUGCUAAAAAUUGGCAUUGGCCGAGAGUGAAUCAAAUGAAUUUUCUCUUUAGUUGGCAUUUCUAUAUAGAACUUAAUAUAAUAAAACAAUCAAGUUACACAUAGAACACUUUUUUGUCGAUUAUAUUCAUCAAGAAAGCAAAACUGACCAACUUGUGUUGUAACAGAUCAGCUAAAACAAUAACUAACUCAGACUAGGCCCAUAUAUAUAUUGUUUAUUAUACUGUAUAUGUCGAUAUCAUCUGAAUGCGGAUUAAAGUUACUUCGAGAAAAUAAACGAAUAAUGGGUACGGGCAUACGGUACCUGUUGUGGCAGAAAUAAAAUCGUUGCAUGUGACUGAAGUAAUCGUCGGCUAUUGGAGGUGUGGGAAAAUUGCAGCGAAUCUGAUCUGCUGAAUAAUUAAAGCAUCAUUUUAUAGCAAAGUUGAUUUAGUAGUGAUCACGAUGUCCAACGACUUCAAGCUAACAGCGAUAUGCUCCACACAUAUAUAGUUUCUUUUGGGGAAGAAUAUACACACUAGUGAGGACGGGGCCUUUAGCCCCGGCCCGUAAGGGGCUUUAGUUCUGGUUCACCAAUCGGGACUAAAGGGCGGGACUAAAGGGCCAACCUUUAGUCCCGGCCCUGUAAGGUGCUUCACGUGGGCGCCUCGUAGCGCUUCAUGGGCAGACCCUUUAGUCCCGGUCCGUGUACGGACCGGGACUAAAGAAUUUCAGAUUUUUUUUUUUGAAUGAAAUUAGUUUUGGGUUUUAGGGUUUUAGGGUUUAGGUGUUCGGAAGAUUAACGUGAUGCCUCGUUUGGUGUUCGGUAAUUAGUUUUCAUACAAUUUAAAUAGAAAUAAUUAUGCAUAUAUAUAUAUAAGAUUUACUUAUCUUACAAGCGAGCAUAUAUAUACAAUUAUAUGGAGAUCUGAAUUAUCGGGACUAGAGCCCGUCUAUUCGAUUACAUGGACGAACAUCAGUAAUGGCCCCUAGCUACACUAAAUCGUCUAUAGCUCCGUCCUCAGAAAGGUCGCAAGCUCCUCUGCAACAGCAAUCGCGCGUUGCUCUGGUAGGACCUUCGUCCUCAUGGCCGUGUACUAUAUAAGAAGAGGAGAUGAAUAUGAAUAUCAAUCAUGACAACAAAGAAUGACGGGUAAAAAUAGAGGUGUGAAUGUUCAUUGCUUACGUCGAAUCUGUGAUCCUUGUGCUCAGAGGUAAACGUACGAAUGGUCUCGCAAACAUAGUAUCCGCAUAGAUGCGUUCCCCGUAGCUGCUGGUCGCACUUUCCGAGAAUAGAAUAUAUAUAAUCAAAAUAAUAAUCUAGCAUCAUAAAUGUAUUGAAAAUAGAAGUAUAUCAUACUACUACUUACCUGGGCCACUCUAAAGGUCAGCUUCUCAGGCUCGAUACCGGGAGUCACGCACUUGAACCGCUUCCAAACCCUGCCCGACAAGGAUAAUGAUUUGCUAAGUUUUUCAUUAAUUGAUAUAUCAGAAAAUCAUCGAAAGAGACCGAUAGAGCGCAAGAAUGAUUGAAAUUACCCUUGGAGCAUGUCCUGCAGGCUUUGGAACUGUUCCAAGGGUCUCGAUAAUGGGUCGAAGGCAUCGACUCUUCCCUUAUCAACUUGAGCAUAGUAUUCAAAGUAGGAGUACUUUUCCAAUUUGAGCAUUCAAUAAGCAAAACCAAAUCCUAAAAUAAAGUAGUAUUCAAAUUAGCAUGCAUUCAAUUAUAAGCAAAUACAUCAUCUCUUUUGUCCGUACAUCGUCGAAUAUUAUCACUAAUACUCCUCGAAUACUAUCAUACAUAUAGCAUCACUGAUACAUCUAGAAAGUAGCGCCCGACGGGUAUCGGCGCGGGCGGUGGACACCCAAAGAGAAGGAACCAUCACAGGAUCAUAGCUCCAGUGAGAUCCCCGAAGAACCUGCCAGGUAUGCUCGAACCUGCCCUCCAACGCAACCAUGUAGCGACGGACGUGCUCAUCCUCCUCGCUGACACGGUGACGUACCACCUCCGCGGUGUCCGGAAGCCUCGGCACCCUCACUGGCCCACGCGACCGCCACCAAACAAGGAUCGGGUCAACGACGGGCUGGCUCCUCACCAACCUACGCCCCCGGAAGGUAGCACCUCCCAAUACCAGCCGGGCGGAGCCCAGUCCCGGACAGGGCCCCUCUGAUCAAGCAGGUGUCCUCCGCCGAGUCGACGACGAGGAUGCGGGAUAGGCAUUGUAAAAUAAACUAAAAAAUAAACUAGUUCUAUUAAUUUUCUUGCUAAAAAUAAACUAUUAACACUUAAGCAUGUAUAAUAGCAAAAUUAAACUAUUAACACUUAAUCAUAUACAAUAGCAAAAUUAAGCAAUAAUCUAAGAAACACUAUUAACAUUUAGGCAUAUACACUAUACAAUAGCAAAAUUAAAUGAAAAAAAAAUAUUUCUUCUUCUUGUAACCCUAAACUAAUUUUUUCUCUUCUUCUAUUUCUCCUCUUCUUCUACUUCUCCUCUUCUUCUACUACUUCUCCUCUUCUCUUCUUCUACUUCUCCUCUCCUCCUCUUCUAAUUUUUUCUCUUCUUCUACUUCUCCUCUUCUUCUAUUUUUCCGCUUCUUCUCCUCUCCUCCUCUUCUUAUUCUCCUUUUUCUUCUUUUCUUCUCCUCAUCUUCUUAUUUUCCUUUUUCCUAAUUCUAAAUAUUACUAACCCUAAUAAUCUAGCACAAACCUAAUAACAAUAGGAAUUAAAUGACAAAAAAAAUCUGUUUCNNNNNNNNNNNNNNNNNNNNNNNNNNNNNNNNNNNNNNNNNNNNNNNNNNNNNNNNNNNNNNNNNNNNNNNNNNNNNNNNNNNNNNNNNNNNNNNNNNNNNNNNNNNCAUAUUUGAGAAUUUGACAAAACUAUGAUAAUGAAAAGUGUUUGACAUUGAAUAAAUAAUGCAAAACUAUUUUCUAUUUUCAAAAGUAAUUAUUUUGACUAUCCAAACUAUUAUCUAUUUUUCUAUUUUCAAUUAAAAAAUAUGUUUAUUAAAAUUCUUUUUGCAUAUUUGAGAAUCUGACAAAACUAUGAUAAUGAAAAGUGUUUGAAAUUGAAUAAAUAAUGCAAAACUAUUUUCUAUUUUCAAAAGUAAUUAUUUUGACUAUCCAAACUAUUAUCUAUUUUGUUAUUUUCAAUUAAAAACUAUGUUUAUUAAAAAUUCUUUUUACAUAUUUGAGAAUUUGACAAAACUAUGAUAAUGAAAAGUGUUUGAAAUUGAAUAAAUAAUGCAAAACUAUUUUCUAUUUUCAAAAGUAAUUAUUUUGACUAUCCAAAAUAUUAACUAUUUUGUUAUUUUCAAUUAAAAACUAUGUUUAUUAAAAUUCUUUUUGCAUAUUUGAAAAUUUGACAAAACUAUGAUAAUGAAAAGUGUUUGAAAUUGAAUAAAUAAUGCAAAACUAUUUUCUAUUUUUAAAAGUAGAAGCGACCCCCACAAUAAGAGACGACAUUCUUCUUCUCUCAUAUAUGGUGGACACUAGCUCAACCAUCGAUGAUGGUCGCUACUCCUACUUCCCCUAGUGCAUAACCAAUAUCUAGCACAAGGAGAAGAAGGAGAAACGACCCCCACAGCAACAGUCGACAUUCUUCUUCUCUCAUGUAUGGUGGACACUCCCUCACCUGAUUUUUCGACCGUCGAUGAUGGUCGCUACUCCUUCUUCCCCUAGUGCAUAACAAAUAUCUAGCACAAAGAGAAGAAGGAGAAGCAACCCCCACAACAACAGUCGGCAUUCUUCUUCUCUCAUGUAUGGUGGACACUCCCUCACCUGAAUUUUUGACCGUCGAUGAUGGUCGCUAUUCCUUAUUUCCCUAAUGCAUAACAAAUAUCUAGCACAAGGAGAAGAAGGAAAAGCGACCCCACAACAAAAGUGGUUCCGCGGCACGCCACGUGGUUCCGCUGCACGCCACGUGGGACUAAUGGUCUUUCUUUCCAGCACNNNNNNNNNNNNNNNNNNNNNNNNNNNNNNNNNNNNNNNNNNNNNNNNNNNNNNNNNNNNNNNNNNNNNNNNNNNNNNNNNNNNNNNNNNNNNNNNNNNNUUUGAAAAUAGAAAAUAGUUUUGCAUUAUUUAUUCAAUUUCAAACACUUUUCAUUAUCAUAGUUUUGUCAGAUUCUCAAAUAUGCAAAAAGAAUUUUAAUAAACAUAUUUUUUAAUUGAAAAUAGAAAAAUAGAUAAUAGUUUGGAUAGUCAAAAUAAUUACUUUUGAAAAUAGAAAAUAGUUUUGCAUUAUUUAUUCAAUGUCAAACACUUUUCAUUAUCAUAGUUUUGUCAAAUUCUCAAAUAUGCAAAAAGAAUUUUUAAUAAACAUAGUUUUUAAUUGAAAAUAACAAAAUAGAUAAUAGUUUGGAUAGUCAAAAUUAUUAAUUAUGAAAAUAGAAAAAAAUUGAAACUAUAUGAGAAUUUAUAGAGAAAAUUCAAUCUAAAUUCAAACUGAACUCACUUUGAAUUCAGGUUGAAUUUUCUCCAUAAUUUCGAAUAUAGUUUCAAUUUUCAGUGAGUUUAGGUCCGUAAGCCUGCUUUAGAGAGGAGCUCGAUGGAGAAGCUGCGACGGGGCUUAUAAACAAGUGUUAGUCCCCCUCGCUGGGCGAGGUGGGACUAAACUUAUCGUGCAACCCAGGAGGGGCUUUAGUCCCGGGUGGAGCCACGCCCCGGGACUAAAGCCCCUCGCCUGCCGCCUGCCGAGGAGGGGCUUUAGUCCCGAUGCGUGGCUCCACCCGGGACUAAAGGCCCCUGCUUCCCGCCUUCUGGUCUGCCCGAAAAGAGGCCUUUAGUCCCGGGUCGUGGCUCCACCCGGGACUAAAGGGGGUCUUUAGUCCCGGUUGGAGCCACGCACCGGGGCUAAAGAUCCACCUAUAUAAGCGGGACUUUGAAAAAUUCCCACCCAAAUCGUCCAUUUCUCUUCUUCUUCCUCUCGUUCUCUGCCCGGCGCGGCACAGCGACGAACUCGACGACGCCGUCACGCUGCCCACCGUNNNNNNNNNNNNNNNNNNNNNNNNNNNNNNNNNNNNNNNNNNNNNNNNNNNNNNNNNNNNNNNNNNNNNNNNNNNNNNNNNNNNNNNNNNNNNNNNNNNNGAAUUCAAAUUCUAUUCAUACUUCAAUUCGCUAUAACUUGCGUUGUAGUGCUGCAUUUCAAGAAAUUCUUUCUACAAAUAAAUUCUUAUGCCUUAUAUUAUUUGUCAAACAACAUUCAUGUUGUUCUCCCAAUAUUUUUUAUCAUAUCCCAUAGUGUAUGCAAGUCGAGCUUAUAUAGCGAUAGUUGAUCAUCCUUUGACUCUUUUGAGUUGACCCCUUUCACCUUUCCUUUACAACACACCUAGGACCUAUUUUUUUAUUAAACCUUAGUAUGUUGUUAUUUUGCACAAAGACAUGUUUUGUUCUUAUGUUCUUUUGGUUCUUCCUUUUUGGCAUGAAUGUUUAUUGAAUGCUAUUCGUUUACGAUAGAUUGCUUGGAGUGUGGCGAGUAGAAUUAUCAAGAUUUUGAGAGCGACUAUCUUCAUCAAGUAAUACCAGGCAAGUCAUUUGAUCAUGUAUCACCUAUGUUUUAUGCAUCGUAGUUCUACCAUCCUAUGCCCAAUUUGCAUGCUGACUAGGUACUUGGAAAUUAUGGUUACAUAUUGUAGUAUCAUGUGGUAGGCACCCAACAACCCCAUUACUUGGCCCGGGACGACAAAUUUCAUAUUGCUAUGCUUGAGUAGACGGGAUUCUGGUUGAGAGUUUAUCACGAGUGAUGCGAUAAUAAUUUAAUAACCAAGACCGGUUAAGUCAAGACUUUUCAAGAUCUCGUGAUGCAAUGCAACUCUGGGUGAAGGACGGUUGAUCGGCUCCCUGGAGAAACCAGUGGAUGACCCGGGAUGCUGGAGACGUGCCAUGACAUCUUGCGGAAAGCUUCACCCAGGCUCAAAGAGACGGACGGAUAUUUUCAAGACCCAAGGCUUACCUGCACAACCACAAGUCAUUAUGGGCUCUGUCUUGGUUGGACAACGCGGCGACUCUGGACAGGCGGUGCCAGCAGAUGUAGAAGAACGGUAGGAUUGGAUGGGCACCGACAGGGAUUCAGAGGGACCCGUUGAAAGACCAUGUUUUGAUCAUCCGGUCUUCAAACACCCUGAAGUGCGAGGACAUACAUGGAGGCGAUCAAAUCUUGUGGGGAACGUUUGCAAAACUCUCCAGAGUACUCAAACCUAAUCGAUUAGCCGUGUCCACGGUCAUGGACAACUUGAGCCAAAGGAACUGAAGUUAUCUGAAAUUCUCAACACCAUUAUAUAUAUUUGAUGUGGGUAAUAUUGUUAACUUGGGUAUGAGAAAUGGUUGGCGGAACCAUCUUAUUAAAAACAGCAGCGUAGUAAUAUUUUGCUUUUUAGCCCCUCUCUUGUUGUAGGAGAAAACUUUGCUUUCCGCUAAAAACUUACAACCCCACCUGCCAUAUAUGCAUAUAGUAUAGAUGAUAUUUUACCCCCCUCUCAUAUGUGACUUGCCGGCAUAUUCAANNNNNNNNNNNNNNNNNNNNNNNNNNNNNNNNNNNNNNNNNNNNNNNNNNNNNNNNNNNNNNNNNNNNNNNNNNNNNNNNNNNNNNNNNNNNNNNNNNNNGUGCCUUCAAGGCAGGCGUGCGGUACAGAGAUCUGUACCUGAAGUUCGGUCGAACAGGCGACAUCUCCAUGAGCAAGAUGAUGGAGAUAGCCGCACGCUAUGCAAAUGGCGAAGAAGAGGACGCAUAUGUAGCGGCAAGCAUAAGGCAGUCGCCGAUGGAGACGGGAACAACAAUCGGAAGCAGAAGCAGAAAGCUCCGUCCACUCCGCAGGCAGAGGCAGCAGCCGUUACCAAUGCCAAGUUCAAGGGUAAGGGGAAAGCUUAGUACACCCCUAAGAAGAGACAGUUCGGGAAUUCCAUCCUGGAUCAGCCAUGUCCAAUCCACACGAAGAUGGACGAAGAAGGCAACGCCAUAUUCCCGAAGCACACCACUCGGCAAUGUCACCUCCUGAUCCAAGGGUUCGGCGAAGGGCAGCCGAGUGAAAAGGACAACGAGCAGGAUGAUGAGGACAAGGAGGAUCCAUUCCCCCAAGUCCAUGCAACAUUGAUGAUUUUUGCUGACGUGGAAAGCAAGAGUCGAUUGAAGCUGGUGAACACGGAGGUGAACAUGGCAACCCCAACCAACCCCACGUUCCUCAAAUGGUCUCAGACUGCGAUCACCUUCGAUCAGUCGGAUCAUCCAGCACACGUGCCCACCCCAGGGAUGCAAGCUCUGGUCGUCAACCCGGUGGUGGAAGGAGUCCGACUGCACAAAGUCCUCAUGGACGGCGGCAGCGGCUUGAACAUCAUGUACGCCGACACUCUCGAGGGGAUGGGCAUUCCGAUUUCCAAACUUAGCGAGAGCAGCAUGCAGUUCCACGGAGUCAUCCUAGGACGAAAGGCCAAGUCACUCGGCCAGAUCGCGUUGGACGUCGUUUUCGGCUCCGACAAGAACUUCCACAAGGAAAAGCUGACAUUCGAGGUGGUGGACUUC
This 24133-nucleotide long non-coding RNA is filed under the name Hordeum vulgare. Its description in RNAcentral is "long non-coding RNA (HVUL_LNC008903)". Lineage: Eukaryota; Viridiplantae; Streptophyta; Magnoliopsida; Poales; Poaceae. The record is from RNAcentral.